GCGGGCGGGUUUUUCCCUCCGCUGCCUCUUCCUCCUGCUUCCUUGCAGAAGGGAAGGGGGCGGCGGAGGAGCUGCAAAGGUGGGCUCGGCAAAGAGCUGCUGGUGGUGGAACUGCAGGCGCAGGAGAGGAGGGUUUUGUGGUGCGCUUUCAGAGGAGCUGUCGUAAAUUCACGUGCUCUGUGUCCUGUGCCACGGGGUUACUGUAGUGUAGGCCUUCUCCAGCAGAGAGAACGACGAAGACUCUAUAUCCGGAAAUGCAAGAGAAACUCCCAACAACUCAAGCCUAUAUGCGUGUUUCUAGGAAGUAAGUAAAGGGUGCAAUCCUGUUCCCAAGGAGCACCGUUACUCCAGAAGCUAGUAUGGCUUCUAAGUAAAAUUCAGUGAGUAUUAUUUCCAAGUAGGAAAGGUUGCAGCUUUGGGGAACGAGGGGGCGUUUUGUUCUUUUUGCUAAAUGUGUAGAGAGCGCUUUAUAAAUUGUGGAUCUCAGGGUGGCUUCAGAAGCCACGUCUUAACUAGAAGGUGUAAGGAUUGCCACUUCUUUUUAAUAGUGUUUCUGUGCCUAGCCUGCAUGGUGGACAUGAAUUCCGUAGGUGAUGCUUUUCCCUGGCAAUGCAGGCUGAUGGGAACUUUACCUGUUGAAUUUUUGCAUGUUGAGUAGCUUAUAAAGGAGCAACAGCCCGUUCCUGAAAAAAGGUGGCAACUCAAGGUGAACAUGUGUGAAUUUAGCUGUACCAAUCACUACCAAACAUCUAGCCACACCAAUCUCUUGGUGUCUUCCUACAGGGGUGGAUAACCACACCCAUCUGUAUCUUAUGGAUGGAUCAACAUGUAUUGCAUAUUAUUGAAUGAGUGUCAGAUCUAAAUUAAUAUUGAGACAUCCACAGGAUUACCAUGCAGUGACUGUAAAGCACUAACACAAAUUGCAGGGAAAAGGCAGUCAUUCUCACCAUAAAGUGGCUGUAUCUAGAAUUUAUAUAUAUAUGUAUAUUUCUACUUCCAGCACUGUUUUUCUGGCCAGAACCAGAGUUAAAGAAGAUACAACAUUCUGAUUCUUAAGUUUUGAUCUGGCUGAAUCUGAGGCCCUUCAUGUGCCCCUUCCACACAAGGUCUGGAAGGCUGCAACAUAAGAACAGGCCUUUUCAGUGGUGGCUCUCCACUUGUGGAAUGCUCUCCCCAACAAUUGCCAGGCAUCAGUGUUUUUUUCUGGGGACACGCAUGCCCCUAAACAUUUUGUGAAUCUAAGUUUCACUUAGGAAAAUGAGAGUACCCCUAAACGUUUUUUUGGGGGGCAGGGGAGCACUGUCUGGCACCAUCAUUAGAUACCAGGCAAAAACAUACCUUUUUCAUCAGGCCUUUGGCUUUUAUUUAUCUGUGGCCUUUUUGCAUAGGUGCAUUGUUUUUAUCCAGCUUUUUAAAAAUAAAAUUGUCUUUCCAAUUUUCUAAACUGCUG
Non-coding RNA from Podarcis lilfordi (Lilford's wall lizard), 1450 nucleotides. The record is from the annotation of a GenBank genome assembly. Lineage: Eukaryota; Metazoa; Chordata; Lepidosauria; Squamata; Lacertidae.